RNAcentral lists this long non-coding RNA (817 nucleotides) under Solanum tuberosum (potato). RNAcentral describes it as "long non-coding RNA (STUB_LNC011399)". Lineage: Eukaryota; Viridiplantae; Streptophyta; Magnoliopsida; Solanales; Solanaceae. The record is from RNAcentral.
GGACUAAUUCUUGCUGGUUUAACUUGUCACCUAAUUGACAAUUUGAAAUUAAUUCUUACCGUAUGCCACUCUAUCUUUACUUGCCCGGUUGGUAAAGUUAUAUUGACGUAUUUUGAGCUGUAAUCAUACAUUUCCUUUGAAUCAAUUAUCACUUGUCUUACUUGAUUUUACAUAUCAUCUGUCUGUAAAUUGAUCAUGUUACCUUAAUUAAAAUUGGUAGAUUUCUUACUUGUUUAUAUUUGGUAAAAAUAAAUUAAAAUAAAUCUAAUUUUGGGAUCUUUUAAAAUAAGGAAAAACUAAUAAUAAUUGAUCCCCCUUUUAUACCUUUCCCUUACUUGCCCGUACUUUAGUGACUAUAAAUAGGACCACUCCCUUCAUUGUUUGAGGGAACAUUGGCUGACAUUCUGAAAAAUACUAAAAAAUAUAUUGCUCGCUACUCUAAAAGAAAAGAAAUAAUACAAAGGUUUUGUGAACUCUAAGAGGACUCUCCAUUCGAUUUUGCUGGGUACGGGUCUAUUUGAAUUAAGUUCGUCUGCAUUGCUGAUACUUAUACUCUGCAUAAUCGGUUAGUUCUAUUCCACUAUUUUAUUUUCGUUUUACAUAUGUUUCUUUGGAAUGUUGUGUAUGAAUAAAAUAAAAGGGAGGCAUCCGAGUUAGUUCCCUUCACCUAUAUCUUCUAUGUGAUAUAUUUGUGUGUUUUGCUUAAAUGAUUGUGAGGCUACAUGUAUGUGAAACAAAUCUUACUGCGCAUAUUUGUUGUUAUUUGUAUUCGGCUGUGUUUUCUUGCUUUAACAGGGUUUUUGAGCUGAAAGAUUCA